GACGAACGCUGGCGGCGUGCCUAAUACAUGCAAGUUGAGCGCUGAAGGAUGGUACUUGUACCCACUGGAUGAGCAGCGAACGGGUGAGUAACGCGUGGGGAAUCUGCCUUUUAGCGGGGGACAACAUUUGGAAACGAAUGCUACUACCGCAUAAAAACUUUAAACACAAGUUUUAAGUUUGAAAGAUGCAAUUGCAUCACUCAAAGAUGAACCCGCGUUGUAUUAGCUAGUUGGUGAGGUAAAGGCUCACCAAGGCGAUGAUACAUAGCCGACCUGAGAGGGUGGUCGGCCACAUUGGGACUGGGACACGGCCCAAACUCCUACGGGAGGGAGCAGGAGGGAAUCUUCGGACAUGGACGGAAGUCUGGCCGAGCAACGCCGGGGGGGUGAAGAAGGUUUUCGGAUCGUAAAACUCUGUUGGUAGAGAAGAACGUUGGGGAGGGUGAAAAGCUGAUCAAGUGACGGUAACUACCCAGAAAGCGACGGCUAACUACGUG
Molecule: ribosomal RNA, 497 nt
Filed under: uncultured bacterium
Lineage: Bacteria
Description: partial 16S ribosomal RNA
Rfam family: Bacterial small subunit ribosomal RNA
Source: RNAcentral